UACAGAGGUCCCAAGCGUUGUUCGGAUUCACUGGGCGUAAAGGGUGCGUAGGUGGUGAGGUAAGUCUGAUGUGAAAUCUCCAAGCUUAACUUGGAAAUGGCAUUGGAAACUACCUUGCUAGAGGAUUGGAGGGGAGACUGGAAUUCUUGGUGUAGCAGUGAAAUGCGUAGAUAUCAAGAGGAACACCAGUGGCGAAAGCGAGUCUCUGGACAAUUCCUGACACUGAGGCACGAAAGCUAGGGGAGCAAACAGG
This 253-nucleotide ribosomal RNA is filed under the name uncultured bacterium. RNAcentral describes it as "partial 16S ribosomal RNA". It matches the Rfam family "Bacterial small subunit ribosomal RNA", at positions 524 to 776 of the family's 1533-position model. The record is from RNAcentral.